AUAAUGGGUCAGCGACUUAUAUUCUGUAGCAAGGUUAACCGAAUAGGGGAGCCGGAGGGAAACCGAGUCUUAACCGGGCGUUAAGUUGCAGGGUAUAGACCCGAAACCCGGUGAUCUAGCCAUGGGCAGGUUGAAGGUUGGGUAACACUAACUGGAGGACCGAACCGACUAAUGUUGAAAAAUUAGCGGAUGACCUGUGGCUGGGGGUGAAAGGCCAAUCAAACCGGGAGAUAGCUGGUUCUCCCCGAAAGCUAUUUAGGUAGCGCCUCGUGAAUUCAUCUCCGGGGGUAGAGCACUGUUUCGGCUAGGGGGCCAUCCCGGCUUACCAACCCGAUGCAAACUGCGAAUACCGGAGAAUGUUAUCACGGGAGACACACGGCGGGUGCUAACGUCCGUCGUGAAGAGGGAAACAACCCAGACCGCCAGCUAAGGUCCCAAAGUCAUGGUUAAGUGGGAAACGAUGUGGGAAGGCCCAGACAGCCAGGAUGUUGGCUUAGAAGCAGCCAUCAUUUAAAGAAAGCGUAAUAGCUCACUGGUCGAGUCGGCCUGCGCGGAAGAUGUAACGGGGCUAAACCAUGCACCGAAGCUGCGGCAGCGAACGUAUCACUUAAAGCGAUUCAGCG
This 623-nucleotide ribosomal RNA is filed under the name Salmonella enterica. RNAcentral describes it as "partial 23S ribosomal RNA". It matches the Rfam family "Bacterial large subunit ribosomal RNA", at positions 612 to 1223 of the family's 2925-position model. The record is from RNAcentral. Lineage: Bacteria; Pseudomonadati; Pseudomonadota; Gammaproteobacteria; Enterobacterales; Enterobacteriaceae.